Molecule: long non-coding RNA, 793 nt
Filed under: Ananas comosus (pineapple)
Lineage: Eukaryota; Viridiplantae; Streptophyta; Magnoliopsida; Poales; Bromeliaceae
Description: long non-coding RNA (ACOM_LNC018489)
Source: RNAcentral
AUAAUCAAUCAAUUUCUCAAAUUAGUACAAAUUAAUACAUAAAUAAAUUUAGGAUAUCAAUUAAAAGUUUCUUUAAAUGUUGCAUAAUUUAAUUACCAAAAUAACCUCGCAUGAUGUAACCCUUUUACCUGCUAAAUGUUAAAAUUAUAUUUUUACCCUUUAUUAAUCAACGGUUAAGAUCUAUUUUAUUUUUUUAAUAAUAAAGUACCGAAUCAUUUCUCUAGAUUUAUAUGUCUCACCAAUUUUAUUGAUCCUUUAAUACGAAAAACUGAAGCUUUUUAUUGCCGAGGUAUUUGAUAGUUUUGUUUGAAUUCAUAUGUCAAAAGAAAAUAUUUGUCUCAAAUAUACAUCAACAUACAUUAGUCUGAAGAUAUUUAAUUAAACGUCAUUAAUUUUGUAAAUAAUAUAUAAAAUAUUUAUAAUAUUUUAAUGUAAUAUUUGUUAUUAACAUGUUACAAUACAAUUGAUUUAAUUGUUGCCCUUUUAUCUCGGUUGAAUAUAAAUAUAAAAAUUAGUUUUUUUUUAAAGCUUAAAUUUUUUUGAAAAAUUAAAUAUUCUGUGUAAUUUAAGAUAGGGUAAACUUUAAGUUCCACUCAUAUGAUUUCGCACUUUUUUACUUUAGUAUUUGUGUUUAAAAUAUAUUAAUUUAAUAUCCUAUAAUUUUAUUUUUUAUUUUUUUGCCUGCUCCUCUAUUAACAUUUUAUUAAAUUAUAUAUAAAAAACUUUCGAUACCCACCUAAAUUUAUCGAAUAUUUACUUUAAUAUUUUAAAUUAUAGAAUACUAAAAUAAAAA